Molecule: long non-coding RNA, 2750 nt
Filed under: Eucalyptus grandis
Lineage: Eukaryota; Viridiplantae; Streptophyta; Magnoliopsida; Myrtales; Myrtaceae
Description: long non-coding RNA (EGRA_LNC006849)
Source: RNAcentral
AUAAUACCAUGUGGUAUUAUAUUAGUAUUUCUUUUCUCUCCCUCUCUCUUCUUUUCUUUCUUUUUCUUUUUCUCUCUUUCUCUCUCUCUUCUCUCCCCUUUUCUUCCGUGCGGACAGCCCCCUCCCCACGCCAACUCUCUCUUUCUCUCUCCCUUUGACCAUUCAACCUUAUCUCUUCUUCUCUCUCCUCUCUCUUCUCCCCCACGUGACCUUCUUCUUCUUCUUCAUUCUUCUUUGUGCGAACCAGACCAAAACCAGCAAAGAAGAGCAGCAGCUCGCCGAGGACCACCGUCGCCCGUCCCGUCGCCGCACCGGAGCCGAACCGCCCGCGACGCCGCCUGCACAACGCCGCGCGUUCCGCCGGCCAUCCCUCGCGCCCAAGCGUGCUCCCCCGCGCGAUCCAGCUGCUGCCCAUCCUCUGUCCAGCUCUGUUCGGCCACGAUCCGGCCACCUCCGGCCACCGUGGGCCACCGCUCGGCCUCGCCAAGCCACCACCCGCUCUCCCGACCUCUUACCGCCCCCAACCCUCUCUCUUUCUUGCUGUUUUGCGGCCGAACCAGCAAACCCACGGAGUGGGUAUCCAGCUGUUCGUGGGCCGUUUUGGGCCGUUUCCCGGCCCCGAACCCGAGGCCCGCUUUGGGAAGAAUUGUUCCUCGCGUCGCCGCCGUCGGAUUGAUCCGAUUUGCGCGCGAUUUGGUGAGUAAUCUCACUAAUCUUUGAUUAGUUGGCUAAUUAUGCUUUAGGUUGGUUUAGUUUUAAUUAAUUAUGUUUAGGUUGUUAGAUUAGAAUUAAUUAGCAAUUAUUAGUCAAUUGUGAUGUGAUUUAGAUAAAUUGAUUGUGCAAUUAGCAAGUAGACGUGGUCUACUAUUUAUUGGAAGUAUCUCGGGAAUUUUCCGACCCCUAAUUGGGCUUCAAUUUGGCAAUUCGGGCCUAAGUGAGAUUUUUGGGCAUUUAAAUAUUAAUUUUCGGAAUUAAAUUAAAUAAUUAUUUAUUUUCCGAAAAUUCAAGGGAGAUGGUUUGUGACCGGAAAAUUAUGCUGGUGACCGUGGUGAAGUCCGUUUAUUUAAUCGGGCUUUAAAUUGAGUUAAAUCGAAUUUUUAAUACUAAUUAUUUAAUUUUCGAAAUUUAUUAAUUAAUUAAUUAUUUUCCGAAAAUUCAACUGGGAUGGCCCGUGACCGGAAAAUUUUGCUGAUGACCGUGGUGAAGUCCGUUUAUUUAAUUGGGCCUUAUUUUGAGCUAAACGGAAUUUUUAAUGUUUAAUAAUUAAUUUUCGAAAUUAAUUAAUAAUUAAUUAUUUUUCGGAAAUUAAGAUUGAGAUGGCCGACGACCGAAAUCUCGUGCUGAUUGUAGUGGUGCAGUCUGUUUAUUUAUUUGAGCUUUGAAUUGUGCCAAAUUAAAUUGAAUGUGGAAUUUAGGAUAUAUUCCUAAAUAGUUGUGGUUAAUUAUUUCAUUGAGAAACCAUUGAAUCUUGCAAGUGGUCGAGUGGGACCGUAAAGCCAUUGAAUCUUGCAAGUGGUCGAGUGGGACCGUAAAGCCAUUGAAUCUUGCAAGUGGUCGAGUGGGACCGUAAAGCCAUUGAAUCUUGCAAGUGGUCGAGUGGGACCGUAAAGCCAUUGAAUCUUGAAAGUGGUCGAGUGGGACCGUAAAGCCAUUGAAUCUUGCAAGUGGUCGAGUGGGACCGUAAAGCCAUUGAAUCUUGAAAGUGGUCGAGUGGGACCGUAAAGCCAUUGAAUCUUGAAAAUGGUCGAGUGGGACCGUAAAGCCAUUGAAUCUUGCAAGUGGUCGAGUGGGACCGUAAAGCCAUUGAAUCUUGAAAGUGGUCGAGUGGGACCGUAAAGCCAUUGAAUUUCGAAAGUGGUCGAGUGGGACCGUAAAGCCAUUGAAUUUCGAAAGUGGUCGAGUGGGACCGUAAAGCCAUUAAAUAUUGAAUGUUGUCGAGUGGUGGACUGUGUCUUCCACCUUUGCUUAAGAUGUGAUUUGAGGACCGUAGUUCGUAAUUGAUGAUUGAGAUGGAAUAAUCGAAUUGACCUAGAAUGGUCCGUCUGACAUGUAAUCGACGAGGUCGAUUGAUCAUUGCUUUGAUUUGAUGUUGUGAAUUGAUUGACUGAAUGGAAAUGACCGUGAGUGGUCUUGUUGGCAUAUAAUCGACUAUGUCGAUUUGAUCGAUGCUUCGAUCUGUGUUAUUAUUGAUUAGGUGCCUAUUAUGAAUUGUACUGACUUGCAGGUGGGAUCUGAUGCCAAGGUACGUCUUCUGCCCUGUGCGUGUAUAGGCAGCCUAUAGUAUAGUGGUUUACUAAUCGGGCUUAGUGGGGUAGAACUCGCUGAGACGUAGUCUCAUCCCAGUUUGGGGAAAAACAUUUCAGGACCCGAUAAGGAGCUGAGGAGGAGAAGUCUGGGAAGGAGAUCUUGGAGGUGAAACUUGAAGGGAAGGAUUUUGAAAGAAGAAGAUAAUACCGAGAUGGGCCUUGAGUAUGGCAUGGAUGGAUUGAGAUCCUAUCUUCUUUUGAGAUCUCCAUUUUGAUGUGAAUAGUUUUGAAGUGGUUUUUGUUUUGUAUAAAAGUUUGGUUAUAAAUUUCAAUAUGAAAAAUAUGGCCAUACUUUUCUAUCCCAUCGUUUUAUUGUCUGGGGAUUUUAACUGCUUCCGCAUGUGCUUAAUAAACUAAAGGGUCGGCGAUACUUGUCCUGGGAUAUCGCAUUAUAAAAUCGACCAAAUGAGAAGGAUGUGUGCGUGCCCGAGGAUCGGGGCGUGA